This 289-nucleotide unclassified non-coding RNA is filed under the name Hevea brasiliensis (rubber tree). Lineage: Eukaryota; Viridiplantae; Streptophyta; Magnoliopsida; Malpighiales; Euphorbiaceae. The record is from RNAcentral.
UCAGCAUCAGCCAGGACCCUCAAGAACCCAACUCUGGUUCUGAGACGUUGAGUUGUUAAAGAAGUGGGGAGAGUCUUGAUGGGAGAAAAGGAGUUGGAGCCUCUGACAUGAGGGAAACUGAGAGAAGCCAUGUGAAUAUGGAUCAAAAGAUCAGUGAUCAAAUCUGAAAAUCUAAAGCUGGAUAGAGAAGGAGAAGGGAAUGGAAGAUGAAUCUGAGUUGAAAAUGGUAAAAAAAUGAGAGAACGUGGAUUCAGAGGAAUCGAUUGCGUCUUGAGGUGUUUGGCUGAUU